Molecule: ribosomal RNA, 199 nt
Filed under: uncultured bacterium
Lineage: Bacteria
Description: partial 16S ribosomal RNA
Rfam family: Bacterial small subunit ribosomal RNA
Source: RNAcentral
ACGCUCGACCUACGGAGGCAGCAGUUGGGAAUAUUGGACAAUGGAGGAAACUCUGAUCCAGUGACGCCGCGUGAAGGAAGAAGGUCUUCGGAUUGUAAACUUAUUUUGUCAGGGAAGAAAAAAUGACUGUACCUGAAGAAAAAGCACCGGCUAACUACGUGCUAGCAGCCGCGGUAAUCUGAGGCGGGCGUGCGAAGGC